This 375-nucleotide ribosomal RNA is filed under the name uncultured bacterium. Its description in RNAcentral is "bacterial SSU rRNA". It matches the Rfam family "Bacterial small subunit ribosomal RNA", at positions 524 to 898 of the family's 1533-position model. The record is from RNAcentral.
UACGAAGGGGGCUAGCGUUGUUCGGAAUUACUGGGCGUAAAGGGCGCGUAGGCGGCUAUCCAAGUCAGGCGUGAAAGCCCCGGGCUUAACCUGGGAACUGCGCUUGAGACUGGGUGGCUAGAGUACCGGAGAGGUGGGUGGAAUUCCCAGUGUAGAGGUGAAGUUCGUAGAUAUUGGGAAGAACACCGGUGGCGAAGGCGGCCCACUGGACGGUAACUGACGCUGAGGCGCGAAAGCGUGGGGAGCAAACAGGAUUAGAUACCCUGGUAGUCCACGCCGUAAACGAUGUCGGCUAGACGUUGGGGCUCUUAGAGCUUCGGUGUCGCAGCUAACGCAUUAAGCCGACCGCCUGGGGAGUACGGCCGCAAGGUUGAA